Molecule: non-coding RNA, 104 nt
Filed under: uncultured Selenomonas sp.
Lineage: Bacteria; Bacillati; Bacillota; Negativicutes; Selenomonadales; Selenomonadaceae
Description: SAM riboswitch (S box leader)
Rfam family: SAM riboswitch aptamer (S box leader)
About the family: The SAM riboswitch is found upstream of a number of genes which code for proteins involved in methionine or cysteine biosynthesis in Gram-positive bacteria. The SAM riboswitch acts at the level of transcription termination control. The predicted structure consists of a complex stem-loop region followed by a single stem loop terminator region.
Source: RNAcentral
CUCAUCCAGAGCAGUGGAGGGAAUGGCCCAAUGAAGCUGCGGCAACCAUCACCGGUGGUGAAACGGUGCCAAUUCCUUUAGAUCAUCAGAUCUAGAAGAUGAGA